RNAcentral lists this ribosomal RNA (128 nucleotides) under Xiphias gladius (swordfish). RNAcentral's name for it is "partial 16S ribosomal RNA". Lineage: Eukaryota; Metazoa; Chordata; Actinopteri; Istiophoriformes; Xiphiidae. The record is from RNAcentral.
AUAACAACAAAUCACUAUUAAUAACCCCGAAAACACACUAAAUUUAUUUACUAAACCAUUCUCCCCCCUUAGUAUGGGCGACAGAAAAGGAACUAGCGGAGCAAUAGAGAAAGUACCGCAAGGGAAAG